UACGUAGGGUGCGAGCGUUGUCCGGAAUUAUUGGGCGUAAAGAGCUCGUAGGCGGUUUGUUGCGUCUAUCGUGAAAACCUGCAGCUUAACUGUGGGCUUGCGGUGGAUACGGGCAGACUUGAGUUCGGUAGGGGAGACUGGAAUUCCUGGUGUAGCGGUGAAAUGCGCAGAUAUCAGGAGGAACACCGGUGGCGAAGGCGGGUCUCUGGGCCGUGCCUGACGCUGAGGCGCGAAAGCUAGGGGAGCGAACAGG
RNAcentral lists this ribosomal RNA (253 nucleotides) under uncultured bacterium. RNAcentral describes it as "partial 16S ribosomal RNA". It matches the Rfam family "Bacterial small subunit ribosomal RNA", at positions 524 to 776 of the family's 1533-position model. The record is from RNAcentral.